Molecule: long non-coding RNA, 1508 nt
Organism: Lycium ferocissimum
Lineage: Eukaryota; Viridiplantae; Streptophyta; Magnoliopsida; Solanales; Solanaceae
Exons: 3
Source: RefSeq, a predicted model, not a curated record
AGGGUGCAAGCGCGGAGGCGCUUUCCAAGUGAACACCGGGAGGUGAAGUGCAGAGGCACGCUUGGAAGAAACUUGGGGGAGCAGUGCACGGGCACGACUCCAUUUUCAAGAAGAACACACAUGGGUUGCCAACCCACAGGAUUUGGGGCCGCGAUGUAAAACCCCGAGGGAUCAAACUCCGGGUUGUCGUUGGCGUUAUGAGGCAUCGAGGACGAUGCCUAGCUUGAGUGGGGGAGAAUGUUACGGGCUGCCUUCAUUGUGCCUUAGCGCCCGUAACCCCGCACGCCCCGAGCGGGCCAAACGAGCACCAGCCGCACAGGCAGUGCCAGCCGCACAGGCAGUGCCGGCCCACGGCAGUGUCCCCCCGCGGGCGGUGUCGGCCGUGCGGGCGACGUGCACCAACAUGGGUGCCGACGGACGGGAGCCCACAAUCAUCAUAGAUAUGUUCCAUUGCAUAUCUUAAGUGUAGCAAGGAAGUUUAGCAAGGAUCUGAGAUGAGCCCACGGGUCGUCGACGCACGACCCCCGUGCGAGCCUGAGUGUCAGUCCCGAGCGUUUUCGAGCUAUGGAUGGAAUCUUGGGAUUUCGGGUGAACACACCCUUCCUAGGAUGUUAUUGAAUGUGCUUACCAAGUUUGGCGUCACUUGAACAUCAUUUACCUAAGGGCUUGACUUAGCCAAGGAGCGAUGUCAGUGUCAAAGCUCCCUAAGGCCAUAUCUCGUUCCACGAGCAUGGGGAUGAGAUGAAACUUCAUGGAGGAGUGAAGGAAGUCAAGAGAAAGAGUUAGGAACAGACGGCGCCUCAUUUGGAGUUCGAAUCAUUGAGAAAGGCCAAUUGUGAUUCUCGGGCAGAAUCAUGUCCAGUGCUAAAACUUGGGCUUUUCUUUUUAAAGCAUAUAUAAGGGGGGCACAGGUGUCUCAGCUCAGCCAGCCUCCCCCGUGCGUGCCACCAUCAAGCCGCACCAAGUGAGCAACCUUGGGGGCCAACCUCAAGGGCUGCCUAGGCAUCCCCAAAGGGUCCUAGGUACCCAUACGAGUUACGCAACUCUAUGGGCGGCGCUCGGCCACAGGCCAGCGUUGGGCGCCCAACGAGGGCCGGAGGCUUGACGUAUGGACCGACCAUGCCCUGCGGGCUAUCCUUGAGAAUAAGAAAACCCUCCGUGCCGAUUGAACACUCGAGGCACCUCUCCUGAGAGCCUCGUGUGUUGACUUGUGAGCUUGGCUCAGGUUCGGGCCUAGCGAGCAAGGGUCCGUUGGCCUAGACGUGCAGCCAUAGGGCAACGCUGCACCAUGCAAGAUGGGAGUAUGCCUCGAGGGCCACAUUUAGCGAAGCCUCAUCAUAGGCAUACUACAAAGGACACACAUGACACAGGCCAAGGAUUCAGGAGUUGCCUUACUCGGGCGUCGCACCAGCCAGGUGCACCGGCACCAGGCCACCGACCCCAGUGUGUGUGUGCAGGCAAAGACCCAACAUAUGAAACAUGCCACGGGGGCAUACAAGCAAGGCAAG